CCUACGGGUGGCAGCAGUGAGGAAUAUUGGUCAAUGGACGAGAGUCUGAACCAGCCAAGUAGCGUGAAGGAUGACUGCCCUAUGGGUUGUAAACUUCUUUUAUAUGGGAAUAAAAUGUUCCACGUGUGGGAUUUUGUAUGUACCAUAUGAAUAAGGAUCGGCUAACUCCGUGCCAGCAGCCGCGGUAAUACGGAGGAUCCGAGCGUUAUCCGGAUUUAUUGGGUUUAAAGGGAGCGUAGGUGGAUUGUUAAGUCAGUUGUGAAAGUUUGCGGCUCAACCGUAAAAUUGCAGUUGAAACUGGCAGUCUUGAGUACAGUAGAGGGGGGCGGAAUUCGGGGUGUAGCGGUGAAAUGCUUAGAUAUCACGAAGAACUCCGAUUGCGAAGGCAGUUCACUGGACUGCAACUGACACUGAGGCUCGAAAGUGUGGGUAUCAAACAGGAUUAGAUACCCGGGUAGUC
RNAcentral lists this ribosomal RNA (460 nucleotides) under uncultured bacterium. RNAcentral's name for it is "partial 16S ribosomal RNA". It matches the Rfam family "Bacterial small subunit ribosomal RNA", at positions 338 to 795 of the family's 1533-position model. The record is from RNAcentral.